RNAcentral lists this unclassified non-coding RNA (197 nucleotides) under uncultured Cortinarius. RNAcentral describes it as "sequence contains ITS2". The record is from RNAcentral. Lineage: Eukaryota; Fungi; Basidiomycota; Agaricomycetes; Agaricales; Cortinariaceae.
AUAUAAUCUCAACCCCUUUUUCUUUUUGUUGAAGGGUUUUGGAUGUGGGGGGUUUGCUGGCCUUCUUAAAGAGGGUUCAGCUCUCCUGAAAUGCAUUAGCAGAAACGACCUUGCUCAUUGGUGUGAUAACUAUCUACGCUUAUGAAUGUGAGGAGAACAGUUCAGCUUUCUAACAGUCUUUGGACAAUUCAUCAUUA